UCUGACACCCAGCAGGCUGGGCCUGCAAGAUGAAGUAGCUGUUCCCUGGGCUCUGGGACCCUGCUGCCCAGGGGAGCAGUGGAGCGCCCCGCAGGUGGUGCUGCAGCUACCCCUGAGUGCCUGCUCUGACUUGCUGGGGACCCCCUUCCAGCCUAAAGGCAGAAAAGCCCAAGAUGAUUAGCUAACUCUGCGGCAAUCCCACAAUGGAUGCAAAGGUGCAGGCCUAACGGUGGAGAGGAAGAACAGGGAAACUGUAAAGAAGUUUCUUCCAGGGACGCCUGGGUGGCUCAGUCAAAUGUCUGCCUUCUGCUCGGGU
This is a long non-coding RNA of Leptonychotes weddellii (Weddell seal), 316 nucleotides long. RefSeq lists it as uncharacterized. The record is from RefSeq and is a predicted model, not a curated record. NCBI's taxonomy places the organism in Eukaryota, Metazoa, Chordata, Mammalia, Carnivora, Phocidae.